This 452-nucleotide ribosomal RNA is filed under the name uncultured bacterium. RNAcentral describes it as "partial 16S ribosomal RNA". It matches the Rfam family "Bacterial small subunit ribosomal RNA", at positions 28 to 507 of the family's 1533-position model. The record is from RNAcentral.
GAUGAACGCUGGCGGCGUGCCUAACACAUGCAAGUCGAGCGAUUCUCUUCGGAGAAGAGCGGCGGACGGGUGAGUAGCGCGUGGGUAACCUGCCCUGUACACACGGAUAACAUACCGAAAGGUAUGCUAAUACGAGAUAAUAUGCUUUUAUCGCAUGGUAGAAGUAUCAAAGCUUUUGCGGUACAGGAUGGACCCGCGUCUGAUUAGCUAGUUGGUAAGGUAACGGCUUACCAAGGCGACGAUCAGUAGCCGACCUGAGAGGGUGAUCGGCCACAUUGGAACUGAGACACGGUCCAAACUCCUACGGGAGGCAGCAGUGGGGAAUAUUGCACAAUGGGCGAAAGCCUGAUGCAGCAACGCCGCGUGAGCGAUGAAGGCCUUCGGGUCGUAAAGUUCUGUCCUCAAGGAAGAUAAUGACGGUACUUGAGGAGGAAGCCCCGGCUAACUACGUG